Molecule: small nucleolar RNA, 97 nt
Organism: Rattus norvegicus (Norway rat)
Lineage: Eukaryota; Metazoa; Chordata; Mammalia; Rodentia; Muridae
Product: small nucleolar RNA SNORA17
Source: Ensembl
UCUGUCACAUAUUCAUCAGUAGAUGGCAGUAAAAAGAGGUUAUAGCUAUACCCAGUGCUCUGACCUAUGAACAUCUGAAUGAUUAGUAGCUUACACU